UUGACCUCGGAUCAGGUAGGACUACCCGCUGAACUUAAGCAUAUCAAUAAGCGGAGGAAAAGAAACCAACAGGGAUUGCCCCAGUAACGGCGAGUGAAGCGGCAACAGCUCAAAUUUGAAAUCUGGCCCUCGGGUCCGAGUUGUAAUUUGGAGAGGAUGCUUCUGGCGCGGCGCCGUCCGAGUUCCUUGGAACAGGACGCCAUAGAGGGUGAGAGCCCCGUACGGGCGGACGCCUAGCCUUUGUGAAGCUCCUUCGACGAGUCGAGUAGUUUGGGAAUGCUGCUCAAAAUGGGAGGUAAAUUUCUUCUAAAGCUAAAUACCGGCCAAAGACCGAUAGCGCACAAGUAGAGUGAUCGAAAGAUGAAAAGCACUUUGAAAAGAGGGUUAAAAAGUACGUGAAAUUGUUGAAAGGGAAGCGCCUGUGACCAGACUUGCUGCCCGCGGAUCAUCCGGCGUUCCUCGCCGGUGCACUCCGCGGGCGGCAGGCAAGCAUCGGUUCUCCUAGGGGGUCAAAGGUCGCGGGAACGUGGCUCCUUCGGGAGUGUUAUAGCCCGCGGCGUCAUGCCUCUGGGGGGACCGAGGACCGCGCUUCGGCAAGGAUGCUGGCGUAAUGGUCACCGGCGACCCGUCUUGAAACACGG
RNAcentral lists this ribosomal RNA (641 nucleotides) under Ophiostoma ips. Its description in RNAcentral is "eukaryotic LSU rRNA". It matches the Rfam family "Eukaryotic large subunit ribosomal RNA", at positions 1 to 664 of the family's 3401-position model. The record is from RNAcentral. Lineage: Eukaryota; Fungi; Ascomycota; Sordariomycetes; Ophiostomatales; Ophiostomataceae.